UCUGAUGUUAGCGGCGGACGGGUGAGUAACACGUGGAUAACCUACCUAUAAGACUGGGAUAACUUCGGGAAACCGGAGCUAAUACCGGAUAAUAUUUUGAACCGCAUGGUUCAAAAGUGAAAGACGGUCUUGCUGUCACUUAUAGAUGGAUCCGCGCUGCAUUAGCUAGUUGGUAAGGUAACGGCUUACCAAGGCAACGAUGCAUAGCCGACCUGAGAGGGUGAUCGGCCACACUGGAACUGAGACACGGUCCAGACUCCUACGGGAGGCAGCAGUAGGGAAUCUUCCGCAAUGGGCGAAAGCCUGACGGAGCAACGCCGCGUGAGUGAUGAAGGUCUUCGGAUCGUAAAACUCUGUUAUUAGGGAAGAACAUAUGUGUAAGUAACUGUGCACAUCUUGACGGUACCUAAUCAGAAAGCCACGGCUAACUACGUGCCAGCAGCCGCGGUAAUACGUAGGUGGCAAGCGUUAUCCGGAAUUAUUGGGCGUAAAGCGCGCGUAGGCGGUUUUUUAAGUCUGAUGUGAAAGCCCACGGCUCAACCGUGGAGGGUCAUUGGAAACUGGAAAACUUGAGUGCAGAAGAGGAAAGUGGAAUUCCAUGUGUAGCGGUGAAAUGCGCAGAGAUAUGGAGGAACACCAGUGGCGAAGGCGACUUUCUGGUCUGUAACUGACGCUGAUGUGCGAAAGCGUGGGGAUCAAACAGGAUUAGAUACCCUGGUAGUCCACGCCGUAAACGAUGAGUGCUAAGUGUUAGGGGGUUUCCGCCCCUUAGUGCUGCAGCUAACGCAUUAAGCACUCCGCCUGGGGAGUACGACCGCAAGGUUGAAACUCAAAGGAAUUGACGGGGACCCGCACAAGCGGUGGAGCAUGUGGUUUAAUUCGAAGCAACGCGAAGAACCUUACCAAAUCUUGACAUCCUUUGACAACUCUAGAGAUAGAGCCUUCCCCUUCGGGGGACAAAGUGACAGGUGGUGCAUGGUUGUCGUCAGCUCGUGUCGUGAGAUGUUGGGUUAAGUCCCGCAACGAGCGCAACCCUUAAGCUUAGUUGCCAUCAUUAAGUUGGGCACUCUAAGUUGACUGCCGGUGACAAACCGGAGGAAGGUGGGGAUGACGUCAAAUCAUCAUGCCCCUUAUGAUUUGGGCUACACACGUGCUACAAUGGACAAUACAAAGGGCAGCGAAACCGCGAGGUCAAGCAAAUCCCAUAAAGUUGUUCUCAGUUCGGAUUGUAGUCUGCAACUCGACUACAUGAAGCUGGAAUCGCUAGUAAUCGUAGAUCAGCAUGCUACGGUGAAUACGUUCCCGGGUCUUGUACACACCGCCCGUCACACCACGAGAGUUUGUAACACCCGAAGCCGGUGGAGUAACCUUUUAGGAGCUAGCCGUCGAAGGUGGGACAAAUGAUUGGGGUGAAGUCGUAACAAGGUAGCCGUAUCGGAAGGUGCGGCUGGAUCACCUCCUUU
This 1463-nucleotide ribosomal RNA is filed under the name Staphylococcus aureus. RNAcentral describes it as "bacterial SSU rRNA". It matches the Rfam family "Bacterial small subunit ribosomal RNA". The record is from RNAcentral. Lineage: Bacteria; Bacillati; Bacillota; Bacilli; Caryophanales; Staphylococcaceae.